This 98-nucleotide non-coding RNA is filed under the name Lactococcus lactis. Its description in RNAcentral is "Guanine sequence". It matches the Rfam family "Purine riboswitch aptamer". Rfam says of the family: Riboswitches are metabolite binding domains within certain messenger RNAs that serve as precision sensors for their corresponding targets. The record is from RNAcentral. RNAcentral also lists the same sequence under 1 other name. Lineage: Bacteria; Bacillati; Bacillota; Bacilli; Lactobacillales; Streptococcaceae.
AAAACCGUGGGAAUAUAAUCUUAUUUAUACCUAGAAUAUGGCUGGGCGUUUCUACCUCGUACCGUAAAUGCGAGACAAUAAGGAAAUUCGAUUUUUCA